AAGACUAUAUUUUCAGGGAUCAUUUCUAUAGUUCAUUACUAGAGAAGUUUCUCUGAAUGUGUAGAGCAUCAGAAACCACAAGGAGGAGGAGCAGCAUUCUCUCCUGAGCGUGAAGCUGGCUCUUGGUGUUGCUUUUAGUGCAAUUGCCAUUUGCCAUUAAUGAUCGUAAAAAAUAAAUAAAUAAAUAAAAAUUUUAAAAAAGGAAUUUUAAUAGC
Non-coding RNA from Otolemur garnettii (small-eared galago), 215 nucleotides. The record is from Rfam. Lineage: Eukaryota; Metazoa; Chordata; Mammalia; Primates; Galagidae.